Leptopilina boulardi is the source of this 7303-nucleotide long non-coding RNA. RefSeq lists it as uncharacterized. The record is from RefSeq and is a predicted model, not a curated record. The transcript has 2 exons. Lineage: Eukaryota; Metazoa; Arthropoda; Insecta; Hymenoptera; Figitidae.
UCAUAAUUACAUAAUUGUCUAUGUCUGGAAAAUAAUCGGUUUUUGUUAAUGAUUCUAUGAUAAUAAUCAAUGGCAUAAGAUAAAUCAGAGAUUAAAUUGUCAAUUGAAACGUUUUUAAAUUAUGUGACUCAGUUUCAAUAGUACAUACACGCGUUCCAAGAUCGACUUUCCUUUUCUAUCAUCGUACAGGUUGAUAACUAUUUAUAUGCUGGUUUAAUUAAUUGCCACGGCGUCACUAUCUUAACAUUGUAUUUAAUUAAUUAUUCUUAGAUCGUAUUUUGUUAGUCUUAUACUAAUUAGUUAGAAAUUUAGUUGAUUGCAUAGGAAAUGAAUUGUAAGGGCAAAUAAUAAUUUCCCCCCCACCCCCAAUCAGUGUGAAACAUUACAAAUUCAUGUAAGGAUAUACAAGGUAAAUCCAAGUCACGCUACUCUUGGGGAGUCCUAAAAUUACUUGUUCGUAAUAUCGCGUGCAAACCACGAGAACAAGCAACAUCCGUAAAAGUUAGCGAUUAUCUUCUCAAAUGAUUGGCUGUGAAAAUAUAGGGGGAAUAGUAGAAGAAAAAUCCUUGUCGUUCGAAACAAGAGAGAGAAGAGAAAACUUGGCAAAAAAAAAAAAGACGAUCUUCUAAAACAAAAAUGUUUGAAAAUCAUUUUUCUCAUGAGAUUUUUGGUAUAUUUUUGAAAUUGUUUAUAAAAAUUAAAUUUAACUUUGCUUACUGGACCACAAAAAAAAAGGAUCGAAUCGAAAUUGCGACUUUCUGAAUUGUGCAUUCUAAUUGGAUGUUGGCACGAACGCUGUCAAUCUGUCAGUUACUUACACGCCAGAUAUCAAGGUGAAAUAUUUAAAUGUGCCCGCAUUAUAUAUGUUUGAUAUGAUCACGAUGGAGGAGACAGGAGCAAGUGAUUAAAUCGAGGGAGACAGGCGAGACGAGCCGCUUCACUUUUUUUUUCUCUAUAUAUCGUUGGGAUAAGAAAGGAUUGUUAAAAAGAUAAUUGAUUGUUCAUGAUGUGGUGCGAUUUGCGAGUAUAUCAUAACGGGCAUGUAAUCAUUAUCACGUUCCAUGUUGACAACACGUCUCCAAUAAUUGAUGCAGGACAUCUGUUCAUCAAACGUCGAUUGGAAUACUUUUUUUUCUAUAUACAUAUAUAUGAUCGUUAUUUAAACAGUAAGUUAAUUCAAAAAUAAUUACUAAUUCAAAUUUAGGAUUUUCAUUAUAUUCUUGAUAAUUUUACGCUAAUUAAUCAUUUUUCAAUAGUGAAAAUAUUUUUAUAUUGCUUUCUAAAAGUUUUCUUAUUAUAUUAAGCAUUUUAUAUAAGCGCGCUUUUUUCGACCUAUAAGAGAACUGACGUAGCGCAAGCGCAGUUGCAUUUAGGUAGAGUUAUUGGCAACUCUGAUUGGACACAUGGAGUUGGUUUCCAUUGCUCUCAAUCGCCAAAAUCUCCACUCGUCAUUAGUCAUAAUUCUCGUCAACUACCGCACCCUGCUUAAGUUGGCAACACUGUGUUCACUUUGACAGAAGUUCAGUUCGUUUUAUUAAAGAACCAUAUACGAGAAUAGAUUGCAGGAACCAAACGAGAUUCGGUGAUAACUAUUUGAUCAUGAUUUUGUGUAUUGUAAAGUUAACCUCAAAAGAAGUUUCCCACUUUUAUUAAUUAAAGCAAUUUUUAAUAUUUAAUUUUUACAGAUUCGGUGAUUACUAUUUGGUCGUGAUUUUUUGUAUUGUAUAGUUAACCUCAAAAAAAAAUUUAAGUUGCUGUUUUUAUUAAGAGGGGAAACCACUUAAGAGGUUCAAGAAAUCGAAUUGUUUUUUUUUUUGCAUAAAUAGUCAGCUUAUGUAUUCAAAAGUAUGUUGAAAAAGUUUUUACAACGAAAUUCGGUGUCCUCUCUGUGCUACAGGCAAUGAAUGAAGCUUGCUCCGAGUAUAUUUUCAAUUAAAAGUUCAAUUAAUAAUAAAAUUUGUAUAAAAUGUGAAUAACCUUCAUUUUUUUGCUUUUAGAUCAAAUUUGUAGACUCCACCUUGCACAGCAAUCAUAAACUCAGACGCCACAGCUAUACAGGAUUAAUCGCUGCUAACUAGUAAUGUUUUUAAUAAAAAUGCUUAAAAAAAAUUGUGAAACGCAGAUAAAUAUAUGUGCAACAUAAUGUCAUUCUUGCAUUUCAUUUAAAAAAAAAAAUGUUAUCCUUUUUGAAAAAACUCCCGAAAAACGGCUAAAAAACAACGUCCUAAUGUGGUUUCCCCUAUUAAUUAAAGCAAUAUUUAAUUUUUGCGGAUUCAGUAAUUACUAUUUGGUCGGGAUUUUGUGUAUUGUAAAGUUAACCUCAAAAAAAAGUUUGAGUUACUCUCUAAUUCCAUUGUCAUUAAAAUUUAAUUAAUUAUAAUUUUGUUUAAAAAAUUUUUUAAAUUAAAAAAAUUUGAAAUUAAAAAUUACAUAUAAAAUUUGAAAAUAUUUAAACUUUGUCAUGUUUUUGAUAAAGAUAUUAUACAUAUUUGUGUGGCAAAUUAUAAUAGCGCAAAAAUUGACACAUUUAAUAAGCAAACAAUAAUCAAUAUUUGUAAAAGAUGUUUAGUUGAUUACAAUCUGUUACUAUGUUUUGAAAUGGAUAAAAAAGAUAUUUCUACAAUGACAACCUUGAUCUGUCUCUGAUCCUCUUUUAUCAAUUGCAUCGUAUAUAUAUAUAGCUAUAUAUAUAUAUAUCAAAAUUUUUGAAAUUCAAAAUACUUUUGAACUACAAGUCAUCUACAGCUUCUUUCUAUUAGAAAACAUUCGUAUAUUUUAUACAAUUUAUCUUUAUACAUUAGCUUACUUAAUAUUCAACUGACAUUGAAAAUCAUUGAAAAUAAUGUAAUCUCAAAAUAACCGAAACAUAUUUCAAAUCUAAUUUUUGAAUCUUUGUUCGUCUAAGGAUAUUUACACAACAAAAUUUUCUAGUUUUAAAAUUCUACUUUACGAAUUUUAUAAACAUUAUCUUGAUGGAAUAUUUUAUUCUCAAAAAAAAAACUACAUUUUUUUUUUAAAUUAUUUUUAAGUUUAAAUUAAAGUUAAAUUAUUUUGUGACUACCUUUAUUUCUUGGCAGAAUAAACUUGUAUUAAUUUUAUAACCUCAAGUUAGAUUUUACAGCCCUAAAGUUUAACUGAUGGCAAUGAUACUAAAACAUGUUGGAACGCAACUUAACAAUUUUUAUGUCUUUAUGUUUGAUGAUAUUAAAAAUACGCCUUUUCCUCAUUGAGGCAUAUUAAGUAAUUAUUAGCAUUCUUCGACAUUUAAAAAUUCAUUGAUAUUUUAAUAUUUUCUUAUUUGCUAUAAAAUUUUUUUUUUUUUAAACAUUUUUGUUUACUACUUUUUAUCUUUUUAUACAAAAAUAUCAGUGACUUCUUAAAAUUUUCUUUCUGAAAAUAUAAUUUUCUAAGUAUAUAGUUUGUUUAAAAAAUUGUUAAUAAAGUAACAAGAGUCGUAAUUCCGCAUUUAUAUAACAAUUUAAAGACAUCUAAUUGCACUGCAAGGAAAAUGCUGACAUUCUAAAGAAGAAUAAAAAAUAUAUAUUCUCUCUCGGGUUUUUUUUUUUUUUUUUUUUGUGCGCGAUGAAGAACAGAAAAGUGGUUUAAUGUAAAAAUUUAUCUUUCGUAGAAUCUGUAUUUUAACUUAUCAUGUUAGACGAACAAAUUUUUAUCAAGUUGAAAAUGUGUGUGUGUGUGUAAACUAGUUAUGUAAGACACCUCCAUGUCAUGUGCCACAUAUAUAUUCAUCUAUUUACUAUUUAUUACACUGUAGUAUAUAGAGACUUUGGCUAAACUUUUCAAGCGUAAUGAUCCCUCACCUGUUAUUGCACAAAUUAACUAAUAAAUACCUUUCCCAUAUUAAUAAUCACUUUUCAAAUCUAUUUUUUCCGGUAUCCUAACAAUUUAAUUCAAUUCAAUCGAAAAGACAUUUUGUAAGAAAAAAAAAACAAAAUAAAUUAUUUAUAAUCAGUAAGGAUUUUUUUUUUUGCAAACAUUUUUUUUGUUAAAAAUUUGGUUGAAAUAUUAUCGACUAUACUCGUUCAAUAUAUACUUAGUCUGUAUAUAAAUUCAAUGAAUCCUGGCAACAAGUUAAGAGAACGUUAACUUUCUACUUUCACCUUGAAUUUAAACCUUGCGGUACUAUACAAAGUAUAAGAAAACUUUAAAGACAAGUCUAAAUUGUGUGACGUUUAAUUUGCAAAUAAAUGUAUGUUUAUUGUAAAAAAAAAUAAAUAAAUAAAGAAACAAAAUUUUAGAAUGUAAACUUAUAGAACAGUAAAAAAAAAACAGUUAUGUAAAUGAGGCUUUCACUUUUUAACAAACAUUACUUGUUUAUUUGCUAAGCUAACUAAAUUAUUUAAUUAAACACUAUUACAUUUCAUUCAAUUUCAAUUCAAUUUUCACAUGAAAUUUAUAUAUAUAAUUUCAAAAAACAAUUUUUUUGUUUUUAAUUUUAUCGAAUCCCACAAAUAUAAACGUAGGAUUUAUUUUAUUUUAUUAAAAUUCAAUUAACCGGCUAAUUGUACUUUCGAACGCAAAAAUAAGCUAAAUAAAUUAUAUAUAAUUAAGGAGAUAAAAAUUUGGACAAUAUUUUUCUAAAAUACAAAAAGAAUAUAAUAAUUUUUACGUUUGUAACAUGGUUGUCAUAGAAACGGUUGUCAUGGAUACGGUUGCUAUGGAAACGGUUACUAUGGAAACGGUUACUAUGGCAACAGUUACUAUGAAAACGGUUGCUAUGGAAACGGUUACUAAGGAAACGGUUACUAUAGAAACGGUUACUAUGGCAACAGUUACUAUGAAAACGGUUGCUAUGGAAACGGUUACUAAGGAAACGGUUACUAUAGAAACGGUUACUAUGGAAACGGUUACUAUUGAAACGAUUAUUAUGGAAACUUUUACUAUAUGGAAACGGUUACUAUGGAAACGAUUAUUAUGGAAACUGUUACUAUCGAAACGGUUACUAUGGAAACGAUUACUAUGGAAACGGUUACUAUGGAAACUGUUACUAUGGAAACGGUUGCCAUGGUACUGGUUGCUAUGGUAAUGCUUUUAUUUUUUCCAAUAUUUUUAGGCAAAUAAGAUAUCAUUUUGUACUUUAAAUAUAAAAAAAAAAAAUUCCAUUUUCACAUAAAAGAAGAAAAUUUUUUAUUUUGUAUUUAAAAAAAGGGUGGCUACAAAUUAGUCAAUAAUUUGCUUAUAUAAACAACUUGGACCCUUAAAUUAAAUUAAAAGAAAAUUGAUUUUUAAAAUUAGAUCAAAAAAAUUUUAUUCGAUGCUGUACUUUUUAUUGAUUUGCAUAUAUCUAAAGAAACUAUGUAUGGUGAACUUUCACCCUAUGUUUUGCAAUCAAGCUAUCGAGUCAACGAAAGAUUAAUAGCUGACCAAUUAACCUUUGUCAUGUUUCAUUAACGAAAUAAUCAGCUCCAUUGAAAUGUCGAUGCGCCAUAUUCAAUAUAUAUAAUACUUAUUUUUAUAUUAAUUUUCGUUUUAAGAAAAAUUUUUACGGUUUAUAUAAAUAUUUUAAUGAAUUGAGGGUAAUUUUUUUUCAUUUUUUUUUUAAAUAAAAAUUAAAUAAAAAAAAAAUCUUUAUCUAAAAUUAAUUCUUUAGAAUAAGAAAAACUUUCGCUGUUCCAGUGAAAAUUUAUCAUUUUUUUUUCUCAUGCAGUAGUAUUAGUAAUUAAUAGUUAUAAAAAUUUGAAAUUUACAUUAGUAAAAAAAAAAUUGGAAUUAGAAUGAAAAAUUCUUUAUUGAAUUGUAAAAAAAAAAAAAAAGUUUCAACACCUUUAUAAAAUAAUAAAGUGAUAUUAUGACAAGAGGGUGGAGUUCAUCGAUUAUACUCUCGGCGAGUAGCUUAAGCGAUUUAUAAUGACUACUCGACGCAAACAGUAGUCGAGUAGGUGAUUAUUUAACAAAUUAUUAAGCAUCAUCCUUUUUCACGCCUAAUAUAUAUAUAUAUAUAUAGUUGAGUAAAAAAAAAUGUAAAAAUUUUUUUUAUAAAAUUGACGAAAUAUUUUUAUUAAUUAAUUAUUGAAAUAAAAAUUAAUAUUUCAAAAUCAAUAAAAUGAUAAUAGAAAAAGAAUAUAAAUUAACAAAUUAAAAAAAAAAAUGUUAUAGUUUUUAAUUUUGUGGAGUAAGCACAUAGAUUUGUUAUGACCACAUUUCAAAACUGUCGUUAAAAUCAUUUAUGGUUAGCUUGCGUGGUCUUGUUCAUGUCGUUUCCACAUGUCCCGAUCAUCGUAUAGAUUACGACUAAAACUUUACUAUAUAUUUUACCCUCGAUUUUUCCUCUAGAAGCAUCAUAUAUAUAUAUAUAUAUAUAUAUAUAUAUAUAGCCAAUAUAUAGAAACGCGAUAUUAGAUGAAAUCGACAAAUGUUACUUCAUUUUUAUGCCUUUUUCGUGCGACAAGUUUACCUUUUGCUCCGCGAAAUAAUAUAUUUUUUCUUUUUUAACAAAAAAAAAAAAAAACUACAUUUUCCUUGAGUUUUCUGAAAAUUAUUUUCCGCGAUUUUAAAAUUUAUAAAAUGUUACUAAAAGGCAACGGAAAAAAAAAUGAUAAAAAAAAAUCAAUUUUUAUCAAAUAUUUAUUUUAGAAUAUUAAAUUAAGAAAAUUUAUUUAUAAUUCUUAUAUACGUCUCAUAUACUCGGAAAAUAUGCAAAUAAUUUUAUGUCUGUAAAUAAGUCUUUAUUGGCAAUUUCCCAAUUUUUACAUUAGUUUAAAUGUCAAAAAGAGAUAAUUCCAACGAUGUUCCUUUUUUCUUGUUAAAGAAAAAAUUAUUUUUCAAUUUUGUUUAUAGAAAAUUAGAAUUUCUACUCGGAUUAAUUUUUUUUUUUUUUUUGAUUUUAGGAACUUUUUACCGUCUCAAGAACGCGGCAUAUUUAAAAAAUUCUUGCGCGGACUAAUAUAUAUAUAUAUAGUAAACAAAUAAUUAUUUACAUAUUAACAAAAUUUUUAUCUAAAUAAAAAAAAAUCAUUCCCGUUGACUAUAUGUAUUUUGUGCCAGUCGAUUAAUUUUUCUUUGUCUUCUGGUGAUAAUUGUAAUUUUAAUCUUCAGUGAUGAUCUUCAGGGAAUUUGUUCGAUGUGCCAUGGUAUUUUUUUUAUCUUCAGUGUUGUAUAUUUAAAAAAAUUUUUUUUUUUAUAAAAAUAUUGUAAAUUAAUUUAUCAAAAAAUCUCUCACUUUUUUGUCUCUUAAAUACUGAAUGUAAGUUUAAAAAUAUUUUGUUGAAAUAAAUUAAUUUUUAUAAAGAAAAAUAGAAUUUAUCACAGUUAUUUGAAUUUCUAAAAGCGUCUUUUUUUUUUCUUU